GACGAACGCUGGCGGCGUGCUUAACACAUGCAAGUCGAACGGAAAGGCCCUGCUUUUGUGGGGUGCUCGAGUGGCGAACGGGUGAGUAACACGUGAGUAACCUGCCCUUGACUUUGGGAUAACUUCAGGAAACUGGGGCUAAUACCGGAUAGGAGCUCCUGCUGCAUGGUGGGGGUUGGAAAGUUUCGGCGGCUGGGGAUGGACUCGCGGCUUAUCAGCUUGUUGGUGGGGUAGUGGCUUACCAAGGCUUGGACGGGUAGCCGGCCUGAGAGGGUGACCGGCCACAUUGGGACUGAGAUACGGCCCAGACUCCUACGGGAGGCAGCAGUGGGGAAUAUUGCACAAUGGGCGGAAGCCUGAUGCAGCAACUCCGCGUGCGGGAUGACGGCCUUCGGGUUGUAAACCGCUUUCGCCUGUGACGAAGCGUGAGUGACGGUAAUGGGUAAAGAAGCACCGGCUAACUACGUG
This 468-nucleotide ribosomal RNA is filed under the name uncultured bacterium. RNAcentral describes it as "partial 16S ribosomal RNA". It matches the Rfam family "Bacterial small subunit ribosomal RNA", at positions 28 to 507 of the family's 1533-position model. The record is from RNAcentral.